Molecule: unclassified non-coding RNA, 221 nt
Filed under: Bombus terrestris (buff-tailed bumblebee)
Lineage: Eukaryota; Metazoa; Arthropoda; Insecta; Hymenoptera; Apidae
Description: misc RNA ENSBTSG00005031114.1
Source: RNAcentral
AUCGGGAAGAGUGAUCAUAGUAUACUUGAAAUCGAAACUGAAAUUUUAGCAUGUCUCACAGCUUAAGAAGAAAUAUUAGAUUGUAAUAUGACAACCGGAAGGAAUGGAUAGAAAAGCAUCCGAAAGACAAUCUUAGAGGGAUUAACGAGUUUUAGUAGUCUAUUAUCGUUUUUCCGUGGUCUCCCCAAUUUCGAUCGACUAUUGUGUGGCAAAUUCAGCAG